This 638-nucleotide ribosomal RNA is filed under the name uncultured Actinomycetes bacterium. RNAcentral describes it as "bacterial SSU rRNA". It matches the Rfam family "Bacterial small subunit ribosomal RNA", at positions 772 to 1412 of the family's 1533-position model. The record is from RNAcentral. Lineage: Bacteria; Bacillati; Actinomycetota; Actinomycetes.
ACAGGAUUAGAUACCCUGGUAGUCCACGCCGUAAACGGUGGGCGCUAAUUGUGCGAACCUUCCACGGUUUGUGCGACGCAGCUAACGCAUUAAGCGCCCCGCCUGGGGAGUACGAUCGCAAGAUUAAAACUCAAAGGAAUUGACGGGGCCCCGCACAAGCAGCGGAGCAUGCGGCUUAAUUCGACGCAACGCGAAGAACCUUACCAAGGCUUGACAUAUACAGGAAUACGGCAGAGAUGUCGUAGCCGCAAGGUCUGUAUACAGGUGGUGCAUGGUUGUCGUCAGCUCGUGUCGUGAGAUGUUGGGUUAAGUCCCGCAACGAGCGCAACCCUCGUUCUGUGUUGCCAGCAUUUAGUUGGGGACUCACAGGAGACUGCCGGGGUUAACUCGGAGGAAGGUGGGGAUGACGUCAAAUCAUCAUGCCCCUUAUGUCUUGGGCUGCACGCAUGCUACAAUGGCUGGUACAAACGGCUGCAAUACCGCAAGGUGGAGCGAAUCCGAGAAAGCCAGUCUCAGUUCGGAUUGGGGUCUGCAACUCGACCCCAUGAAGUCGGAGUUGCUAGUAAUCGUAGAUCAGCAACGCUACGGUGAAUACGUUCCCGGGGCUUGUACACACCGCCCGUCACAUCACGAAAGUC